CAGAAAAUCAUACACAUCUGGGAUGGCAUGAGGGGCAUUUUGAGACAAUGCAAACAGAUGUAGAGAGAGUUAGAGACGUGUGGAGACAUGCACAGUUUCAUUAGAAAGAAGACACUGAUGAAAAUUCACUCAAGAGCAACAGAUAAACUAUGAUUGAGACUGACCAUGGUAGACAAAAC
This is a long non-coding RNA of Myxocyprinus asiaticus (Chinese sucker), 179 nucleotides long. RefSeq lists it as uncharacterized. Lineage: Eukaryota; Metazoa; Chordata; Actinopteri; Cypriniformes; Catostomidae. The record is from RefSeq and is a predicted model, not a curated record. The transcript has 3 exons.